UGCGCAGGCGGACUUGUGCGUCAGAGGUUAAAUGUCACCGCUCAACGGUGAACCUGCCUUUGAUACGGCGAGUCUUGAGUACGAGAGAGGUAGGCAGAAUUCCUGGUGUAGCGGUGAAAUGCGUAGAUAUCAGGAGGAAUACCAGUGGCGAAGGCGGCCUACUGGCUCGUAACUGACGCUCAUGCACGAAAGCGUGGGUAGCGAACA
RNAcentral lists this ribosomal RNA (207 nucleotides) under uncultured bacterium. RNAcentral's name for it is "partial 16S ribosomal RNA". It matches the Rfam family "Bacterial small subunit ribosomal RNA", at positions 568 to 774 of the family's 1533-position model. The record is from RNAcentral.